RNAcentral lists this ribosomal RNA (408 nucleotides) under Fusobacteriota bacterium. RNAcentral's name for it is "Fusobacteria bacterium partial 16S ribosomal RNA". It matches the Rfam family "Bacterial small subunit ribosomal RNA", at positions 355 to 776 of the family's 1533-position model. The record is from RNAcentral. Lineage: Bacteria; Fusobacteriati; Fusobacteriota.
UGGGGAAUAUUGCACAAUGGACGGAAGUCUGAUGCAGCAACGCCGCGUGCGGGAUGACGGCCUUCGGGUUGUAAACCGCUUUUUCUCAUGACGAAGUUUUUUGUCGGUAGUGGGGGAAGAAGCACCGGCUAACUACGUGCCAGCAGCCGCGGUGAUACGUAGGGUGCGAGCGUUGUCCGGAAUUAUUGGGCGUAAAGAGCUUGUAGGCGGUUUGUCGCGUCGAUAGUGCAAACUCAGUGCUUAACGCUGAGCCUGCUGUUGAUACGGGCAGACUAGAGGAAGGUAGGGGAGAAUGGAAUUCCCGGUGGAGCGGUGGAAUGCGCAGAUAUCGGGAGGAACACCGGUGGCGAAGGCGGUUCUCUGGGCCUUUCCUGACGCUGAGAAGCGAAAGCGUGGGGAGCGAACAGG